RNAcentral lists this ribosomal RNA (468 nucleotides) under uncultured bacterium. RNAcentral's name for it is "partial 16S ribosomal RNA". It matches the Rfam family "Bacterial small subunit ribosomal RNA", at positions 28 to 507 of the family's 1533-position model. The record is from RNAcentral.
GACGAACGCUGGCGGCGUGCUUAACACAUGCAAGUCGAACGGAAAGGCCCUGCUUUUGUGGGGUGCUCGAGUGGCGAACGGGUGAGUAACACGUGAGUAACCUGCCCUUGACUUUGGGAUAACUUCAGGAAACUGGGGCUAAUACCGGAUAGGAGCUCCUGCUGCAUGGUGGGGGUUGGAAAGUUUCGGCGGUUGGGGAUGGACUCGCGGCUUAUCAGCUUGUUGGUGGGGUAGUGGCUUACCAAGGCUUUGACGGGUAGCCGGCCUGAGAGGGUGACCAGCCACAAUGGGACUGCGAUACGGCCCAGACUCCUACGGGAGGCAGCAGUGGGGAAUAUUGCACAAUGGGCGGAAGCCUGAUGCAGCAACGCCGCGUGCGGGAUGACGGCCUUCGGGUUGUAAACCGCUUUCGCCUGUGACGAAGAGUGAGUGACGGUAAUGGGUAAAGAAGCCCCGGCUAACUACGUG